UAGGGAAUCUUCCGCAAUGGGCGAAAGCUUGACGGAGCAACGCCGCGUGAGUGAUGAAGGUCUUCGGAUCGUAAAACUCUGUUAUUAGGGAAGAACAAAUGUGUAAGUAACUAUGCACGUCUUGACGGUACCUAAUCAGAAAGCCACGGCUAACUACGUGCCAGCAGCCGCGGUAAUACGUAGGUGGCAAGCGUUAUCCGGAAUUAUUGGGCGUAAAGCGCGCGUAGGCGGUUUUUUAAGUCUGAUGUGAAAGCCCACGGCUCAACCGUGGAGGGUCAUUGGAAACUGGAAAACUGGAGUGCGGAAGAGGAAAGUGGAAUUCCAUGUGUAGCGGUGAAAUGCGCAGAGAUAUGGAGGAACACCAGAGGCAAAGGCGACUUUGUGGUCUGUAACUGACGCUGAUGUUCGAAAGCGGGGGGAUCAAACAGG
This 429-nucleotide ribosomal RNA is filed under the name Actinomycetes bacterium. RNAcentral's name for it is "Actinobacteria bacterium partial 16S ribosomal RNA". It matches the Rfam family "Bacterial small subunit ribosomal RNA", at positions 355 to 776 of the family's 1533-position model. The record is from RNAcentral. Lineage: Bacteria; Bacillati; Actinomycetota; Actinomycetes.